Sinocyclocheilus anshuiensis is the source of this 85-nucleotide small nucleolar RNA. The record is from Ensembl. Lineage: Eukaryota; Metazoa; Chordata; Actinopteri; Cypriniformes; Cyprinidae.
UUCAGUAACCGAAGGGAUGGUGUGUUUUGACAGGAUUGCCUGGUCACAUGAUGAUUUUUCUCACCAUCUUUCGGCUGAUGCUGUG